CGGACGGGUGAGUAACGCGUGGGUAACCUGCCUCACACUGGGGGACAACAGUUAGAAAUGACUGCUAAUACCGCAUAAGCGCACAGGACCACAUGGUCUAGUGUGAAAAACUCCGGUGGUGUGAGAUGGACCCGCGUUUGAUUAGCUAGUUGGUGGGGUAACGGCCUACCAAGGCGACGAUCAAUAGCCGACCUGAGAGGGUGACCGGCCACAUUGGGACUGAGACACGGCCCAA
Molecule: ribosomal RNA, 235 nt
Filed under: uncultured bacterium
Lineage: Bacteria
Description: partial 16S ribosomal RNA
Rfam family: Bacterial small subunit ribosomal RNA
Source: RNAcentral